This is a non-coding RNA of Paramuricea clavata, 95 nucleotides long. Lineage: Eukaryota; Metazoa; Cnidaria; Anthozoa; Malacalcyonacea; Plexauridae. The record is from the annotation of a GenBank genome assembly.
UGGUGUAAUGUACUCAGGUGAAUAAGAUGCUUGUGAUGUUACUCUGAGUGUGGAGUAGAGUAACAUCACAAGCAUCUUAUUCACCUGAGUACAUU